This 796-nucleotide long non-coding RNA is filed under the name Homo sapiens (human). RNAcentral describes it as "HSALNT0233234". The record is from RNAcentral. Lineage: Eukaryota; Metazoa; Chordata; Mammalia; Primates; Hominidae.
UUUGAGACCCAGCGUCUCUAGAUCUCGUAUUUGAAUUUGUGGCGCUUGGUGUCCGCGAGUUGCCGAAUGAAGCUGAGCGUCUCAGUGGAACCAGGGAUCUCAGGGAGGGGAAGGUAUAAAAUUUUCAAAUGGAGGAGUAUACCUGAACCUAAUCAUGGAUGUGAUUUUAUGGUCUCGCUUUGUCACCUAGCAGUGUAGUGGUGUAAUCACAGCUCACUGCAGCCUCGACCUCCUGGGCGCAAGGAAUCUUCCAGCCUCAGCCACCCAAGUAGCUGAGACUACAAAUACAGAUAAGCUGAUUCUAAAACUUACAAGAAUGGCAAAGAAACAAGAAGAGCUUAAACUGCAAUCAUCAACAGAGAAGCUUUCUGCAACCAAAGUGAAGACUGAAGCCUUAGGCUAUGGCAGAAGUUGGGCGCCUGAAGUACACGUGGAAAUAUGCCAACUGAACAUUGGACUACCACGUCAAGGGUCUCCUACCCCUGGGCCAUGGAUCAAUACCAGUCUGUGACCUGUUAGGAACCGGUAGCAGGAGCGCCUGCCCCUGGCUCAGCGCCCGGUGCCAACAGAACACCUUUCAGGAUCCACAGCAACGCAGACAACGGAACUCACAAGGGCUUCGGUUCUCAAGAGGCCAUCAAAACAUAACUGCUGCCGAGACAAUACCUUUCCUUCCCCUCACUACAUUCACUGAAUGUUCUGGAUCAGUGCGUCUCACACCUUUGGAUCUUAUAAGCUACUUGGAAAAAAAUGAUAUCAAGAGAGACAAGGUUUUAAGCCAGCCCUACUGUGAGUU